CUAUACAUGCAGUCGAACGCUUCUUUUUCCACCGGAGCUUGCUCCACCGGAAAAAGAGGAGUGGCGAACGGGUGAGUAACACGUGGGUAACCUGCCCAUCAGAAGGGGAUAACACUUGGAAACAGGUGCUAAUACCGUAUAACAAUCGAAACCGCAUGGUUUUGAUUUGAAAGGCGCUUUCGGGUGUCGCUGAUGGAUGGACCCGCGGUGCAUUAGCUAGUUGGUGAGGUAACGGCUCACCAAGGCGACGAUGCAUAGCCGACCUGAGAGGGUGAUCGGCCACAUUGGGACUGAGACACGGCCCAAACUCCUACGGGAGGCAGCAGUAGGGAAUCUUCGGCAAUGGACGAAAGUCUGACCGAGCAACGCCGCGUGAGUGAAGAAGGUUUUCGGAUCGUAAAACUCUGUUGUUAGAGAAGAACAAGGAUGAGAGUAACUGUUCAUCCCUUGACGGUAUCUAACCAGAAAGCCACGGCUAACUACGUGCCAGCAGCCGCGGUAAAAGUACAG
RNAcentral lists this ribosomal RNA (510 nucleotides) under Enterococcus hirae. Its description in RNAcentral is "bacterial SSU rRNA". It matches the Rfam family "Bacterial small subunit ribosomal RNA", at positions 49 to 530 of the family's 1533-position model. Lineage: Bacteria; Bacillati; Bacillota; Bacilli; Lactobacillales; Enterococcaceae. The record is from RNAcentral.